CAUGUACAUUUCGAUGUACAGAGGUGUCUUGAGUAGUCAAACACUGAGUUGGGAAGUACAAGGAGCAAGAACUGUAAAGCCAUGAACAGUACGGACCGCCGAAAUGAUUGAGGCGGAGGCCCCGGAUCCGCCGCAGGCUUUGGGCUUGAAUCUGGUUCAGGAGACGUGGUAGGGAAUUUGUUGGCAAUGGCUCGCCAGCUCGUUGAUCAAGGCAAGCCUUUCCAGGCUCUCCAAGCGGUGGCGAUGCCUAUGAAGAUACAAGGGGGAGAUGAAGCUGUAGCUCAAGCUGAACCGUGCUCUGGAGUUGUACCGAAACAAGAUUCAAGCUAGUUCUGCGGCUGAUGAGUUGGCAUUGUUGUUUGCUAAGUUUGCAAUUGAUGAGGCCAUGCCUUCAAGAACUGAACCACCUCAACACAACAUAGAUAUUCUCUUCAGCCAACCUGAUGCUCAAGCAAAUUAUACUUGCUGAGACAGGCAGGAAGCAGAUCAUGCUUGAUGCAUUCUCAGAUGGAAGCAGUUCUAUCUGCUUGCAGUGUGGCGGUCUUGUUAGCAAUCAUCGGAAAGAGGAACAUUGUGCAUUCUGGUGCUGCAAAAUCUGAGUUUGCUCUGAACUUGAGCAUGCAUCGACAUUUGAUCCUUGUCCGAUUAUUGCAGUUGGUAGCUGGAGGAGGCA
This is an RNA transcript of Sesamum indicum (sesame), 673 nucleotides long. RefSeq lists it as uncharacterized. NCBI's taxonomy places the organism in Eukaryota, Viridiplantae, Streptophyta, Magnoliopsida, Lamiales, Pedaliaceae. The record is from RefSeq and is a predicted model, not a curated record.